UACGAAGGGGGCUAGCGUUGCUCGGAAUCAUUGGGCGUAAAGAGCUCGUAGGCGGUUUGGCAAGUCGGGUGUGAAAACUCCGGGCUCAACUCGGAGACGCCACUCGAUACUGCCAUGACUCGAGUCCGGUAGGGGAGUGCGGAAUUCCUGGUGUAGCGGUGAAAUGCGCAGAUAUCAGGAGGAACACCGGUGGCGAAGGCGGCACUCUGGGCCGGUACUGACGCUGAGGAGCGAAAGCCAGGGGAGCGAACGGG
RNAcentral lists this ribosomal RNA (254 nucleotides) under uncultured bacterium. RNAcentral's name for it is "partial 16S ribosomal RNA". It matches the Rfam family "Bacterial small subunit ribosomal RNA", at positions 524 to 776 of the family's 1533-position model. The record is from RNAcentral.